GGAGGGUGCAAGCGUUAUCCGGAUUCACUGGGUUUAAAGGGUGCGUAGGCGGGUUGGUAAGUCCGUGGUGAAAUCUCCGAGCUUAACUCGGAAACUGCCGUGGAUACUAUCAAUCUUGAAUAUCGUGGAGGUAAGCGGAAUAUGUCAUGUAGCGGUGAAAUGCUUAGAUAUGACAUAGAACACCAAUUGCGUAGGCAGCUUACUACACGAUCAUUGACGCUGAGGCACGAAAGCGUGGGGAGCAAACAGGAUUAGAUACCCUGGUAGUCCACGCCCUAAACGAUGGAUACUCGACAUCAGCGAUACACUGUUGGUGUCUGAGCGAAAGCAUUAAGUAUCCCACCUGGGAAGUACGAUCGCAAGAUUG
This 367-nucleotide ribosomal RNA is filed under the name uncultured bacterium. RNAcentral describes it as "bacterial SSU rRNA". It matches the Rfam family "Bacterial small subunit ribosomal RNA", at positions 527 to 896 of the family's 1533-position model. The record is from RNAcentral.